Molecule: transfer RNA, 85 nt
Filed under: Myxococcales bacterium
Lineage: Bacteria; Pseudomonadati; Myxococcota; Myxococcia; Myxococcales
Description: tRNA-Leu
Rfam family: tRNA
About the family: Transfer RNA (tRNA) molecules are approximately 80 nucleotides in length.
Source: RNAcentral
GGGGGCGUAGGCGAAUCGGUACAGCCACCGGUCUCAAACACCGGCGACAAUUGUGUCGUUGCGGGUUCGAAUCCCGCGGCCCCCA